ACGAAGGGUGCAAGCGUUACUCGGAAUUACUGGGCGUAAAGGGUGCGUAGGUGGUUGCUUAAGUCUGCUGUGAAAGCCCCGGGCUCAACCUGGGAAUGGCAGUGGAUACUGGGCAGCUGGAGUGCGGUAGAGGGUAGUGGAAUUCCCGGUGUAGCAGUGAAAUGCGUAGAGAUCGGGAGGAACACCAGUGGCGAAGGCGGCUACCUGGACCAGCACUGACACUGAAGCACGAAAGCGUGGGGAGCAAACAGGAUUAGAUACCCUGGUAGUCCACGCCCUAAACGAUGCGAACUGGACGUUGGGAGCAACUUGGCUCUCAGUGUCGAAGCUAACGCGUUAAGUUCGCCGCCUGGGGAGUACGGUCGCAAGACUG
RNAcentral lists this ribosomal RNA (373 nucleotides) under uncultured bacterium. Its description in RNAcentral is "bacterial SSU rRNA". It matches the Rfam family "Bacterial small subunit ribosomal RNA", at positions 525 to 896 of the family's 1533-position model. The record is from RNAcentral.